CGAUGAACCACUUCGGUGGGGAUUAGUGGCGAACGGGUGAGUAACACGUGGGCAAUCUGCCCUGCACUCUGGGACAAGCCCUGGAAACGGGGUCUAAUACCGGAUACUGACCCUCACGGGCAUCUGUGAGGUUCGAAAGCUCCGGCGGUGCAGGAUGAGCCCGCGGCCUAUCAGCUUGUUGGUGAGGUAAUGGCUCACCAAGGCGACGACGGGUAGCCGGCCUGAGAGGGCGACCGGCCACACUGGGACUGAGACACGGCCCAGACUCCUACGGGAGGCAGCAGUGGGGAAUAUUGCACAAUGGGCGAAAGCCUGAUGCAGCGACGCCGCGUGAGGGAUGACGGCCUUCGGGUUGUAAACCUCUUUCAGCAGGGAAGAAGCGAAAGUGACGGUACCUGCAGAAGAAGCGCCGGCUAACUACGUGCCAGCAGCCGCGGUAAUACGUAGGGCGCGAGCGUUGUCCGGAAUUAUUGGGCGUAAAGAGCUCGUAGGCGGCUUGUCACGUCGGUUGUGAAAGCCCGGGGCUUAACCCCGGGUCUGCAGUCGAUACGGGCAGGCUAGAGUUCGGUAGGGGAGAUCGGAAUUCCUGGUGUAGCGGUGAAAUGCGCAGAUAUCAGGAGGAACACCGGUGGCGAAGGCGGAUCUCUGGGCCGAUACUGACGCUGAGGAGCGAAAGCGUGGGGAGCGAACAGGAUUAGAUACCCUGGUAGUCCACGCCGUAAACGGUGGGCACUAGGUGUGGGCAACAUUCCACGUUGUCCGUGCCGCAGCUAACGCAUUAAGUGCCCCGCC
RNAcentral lists this ribosomal RNA (792 nucleotides) under Streptomyces sp. RNAcentral describes it as "bacterial SSU rRNA". It matches the Rfam family "Bacterial small subunit ribosomal RNA", at positions 67 to 873 of the family's 1533-position model. The record is from RNAcentral. Lineage: Bacteria; Bacillati; Actinomycetota; Actinomycetes; Kitasatosporales; Streptomycetaceae.